UAUCAAGUAACAUAAAUGGUAAGACCAAGUAUCAUUUUUCCUAGAGACUAAUUGGCCUACAAAAUCAUGUGAUUUGUUGAUUAAUUAAGACUUGAGAACGAAAAUCAGUGUUUAUAAUGCAGAAAAUUAAAUAUGCAUGCAAGUGUUGAUCAAUUGACCAAAGAAUACGAAGGGGAAUGAUGUAUGGAUUAAUUAUGUUGUUGGGGUUUCCGAC
Molecule: long non-coding RNA, 214 nt
Filed under: Vigna radiata
Lineage: Eukaryota; Viridiplantae; Streptophyta; Magnoliopsida; Fabales; Fabaceae
Description: long non-coding RNA (VRAD_LNC002761)
Source: RNAcentral